AAGGGACCUAGCGUAGUUCGGAAUUACUGGGCUUAAAGAGUUCGUAGGUGGUUGAAAAAGUUGGUGGUGAAAUCCCAGAGCUUAACUCUGGAACUGCCAUCAAAACUUUUCAGCUAGAGUAUGAUAGAGGAAAGCAGAAUUCUAGUGUAGAGGUGAAAUUCGUAGAUAUUAGAAAGAAUACCAAUUGCGAAGGCAGCUUUCUGGAUCAUUACUGACACUGAGGAACGAAAGCAUGGGUAGCGAAGAGGAUUAGAUACCCUCGUAGUCCAUGCCGUAAACGAUGUGUGUUAGACGUUGGAAAUUUAUUUUCAGUGUCGCAGGGAAACCGAUAAACACACCGCCUGGGGAGUACGACCGCAAGGUUAAAACUCAAAUGAAUUGACGGGGACCCGCACAAGUAGUGGAGCAUGUGGUUUAAUUCGAAGAUACGCGCAGAACCUUACCAACACUUGACAUGUUCGUCGCGACUCUAAGAGAUUAGAGUUUUCGGUUCGGCCGGACGAAACACAGGUGCUGCAUGGCUGUCGUCAGCUCGUGUCGUGAGAUGUUGGGUUAAGUCCCGCAACGAGCGCAACCCUCACUUUUAGUUGCCAUCAUUAAGUUGGGCACUCUGAAAGAACUGCCAGUGAUAAGCUGGAGGAAGGUGGGGAUGACGUCAAGUCCUCAUGGCCCUUACGUGUUGGGCUACACACGUGCUACAAUGGCAUCUACAACAGGAAGCAAAACGGCAACGUUAAGCAAAUCCCGAAAAGAUGCCUCAGUUCGGAUUGCACUCUGCAACUCGAGUGCAUGAAGCUGGAAUUACUAGUAAUCGUGGAUCAGCGUGCCACGGUGAAUGCGUUCCCGGAUCUUGUACACACCGCCCGUCACACCAUGGGAGUUGGUUCUACCUUAAGGCAAGGUUUUAAACCCUUGACCACGGUAUAGUCAGCGACUGGGGUGAAGUCGUAACAAGGUAGCCGUAGGGGAACCUGCGGCUGGAUUACCUCCUUUCUAAGGAUGAGUGAAAGUAAAAUUUUACUCUAAAUAAUAUACAUCGGUAAUGUUGACCGUCCUCAUUUCUCUUCUUAAAGUAAUGUUUCCUUCUUGUAGGGCCGGUAGCUCAGUUGGUUAGAGCACACCCUUGAUAAGGGUGGGGUCGAAAGUUCGAGUCUUUCUCGGCCCACCAAAAGCCUAAAUGGGGGAUCAGCUCAUCUGGGAGAGCGCCUGAUUUGCAUUCAGGAGGUAGCAGGUUCGAUCCCUGUAUCCUCCACCAGGAAACAUUUAGUUAUUAAAACUGUAAAUUAAAAUAAUUUAUAUCAAUAUCUAUAUCCGAACAUUAAAAGUUAUUAUUUAAUGUUCAAAAUAAAAAUUUGAUCACAACAUAGAUAAAUUUUUCUUUAAAAAAGAAAUUUUUUUCUGUGCAUAAAUCAAGCGUUUAAGGGCGUGUAGUGGAUGCCUUGGCACUGAAAGCCGAUGAAGGACGUGAUAUACUGCGAUAAGUUUCGGGGAGCUGUAUGUAAGCUUUGAUCCGAAAAUUU
This 1520-nucleotide small RNA is filed under the name uncultured Arctic sea ice bacterium. RNAcentral describes it as "bacterial SSU rRNA". The stretch from base 1 to 993 matches the Rfam family "Bacterial small subunit ribosomal RNA", at positions 528 to 1533 of the family's 1533-position model. The record is from RNAcentral.